Mauremys reevesii (Reeves's turtle) is the source of this 691-nucleotide long non-coding RNA. RefSeq lists it as uncharacterized. Lineage: Eukaryota; Metazoa; Chordata; Testudines; Geoemydidae. The record is from RefSeq and is a predicted model, not a curated record. The transcript has 3 exons.
GUCCUGACUGUUACAGCUGCCUCCAGGCCCAGAGGCACAAGCCGCCGCUAUCUCAGCGCAGGGAAUUAGCUGUCUCCUGUACCCAGGAUUGCCUUGUCCCGAGCGCGAUUAGAUGUGACCUGUGACUGGGACGAAAGUCCGCCCUCCUUGUCGCGUUGCACUUUGAGUUGUUUUCCAGGCAGCUGGCAGCCCCCUCGGAGGGAACAGGACUGAACCCAGCAGGGUGGGAGAUUGCCUGGCCCCCAGCCCCAAACCUUAUUCCACAAGGCCGGGCACCCAGCCCCAUCUCGGCAGGCGCUUCAGGGGCUGGGAACACGUGGGGAUUGGAGAAGCAGCCCCCAAAGGAUCUGUACGGGCCAGGAGGGGACAGGCGGCAGCUGGGCCUGAGCAGGUUCGUUCCCCAGCAGCGGAGAUUCUCCUCCAAGGAUCCACUCCGGAGAGCAGCUUUAGCGCCUGAGCCGGAGGCUGGUUGGUCACUGCAGAUCCCAUAUCCCCCUUCGCCUGCCCACAUCCGUCCUCAUGGGCUCCAACUCCCGGCUGGGUUACACCAAGAUGAAGAUCUACGCAGAAAAAGAGGAUGUCACUCUGGACCCAGACACAGCUCACCCCAGUCUGACCCUUUCCAAGGACAGGAGAAGUGUGACAGUCACAAACACAAGGCUGGCUCUGGCCAAUGACCCGGGGAGAUUCG